This 260-nucleotide long non-coding RNA is filed under the name Homo sapiens (human). RNAcentral describes it as "non-protein coding lnc-TPTE-1:4". Lineage: Eukaryota; Metazoa; Chordata; Mammalia; Primates; Hominidae. The record is from RNAcentral.
UUUUCCUCCGGAAGUGCGGCACCCAGAGGCCGUCCUGUAGCCGGGCCGGCUUGGGGCUUGGUUCUAUGUCCCUGCGGGUCGGUGCAAGGGCGAAGAGGAACCCGUGGGCCUCAGGGGAUCCCGGGGGGCCGGACCAGUGUUCCCUAGUUGUGGGAGCAGACGCGUGGGCACAUUGCGGGCGGGCAGGGCCUGAAGUGCAGCUAUGUUUCCAGUGUCCUCUGGGUGUUUCCAAGAGCAACAAGAAAUGAAUAAAUCUCUGG